Molecule: non-coding RNA, 29 nt
Filed under: Rattus norvegicus (Norway rat)
Lineage: Eukaryota; Metazoa; Chordata; Mammalia; Rodentia; Muridae
Source: RNAcentral
CCCAUUCAGUUCUGCAAAGGUGUAGGCUU